CAGUCGCCGCGGGAAUACGUAGGGUGCGAGCGUUAAUCGGAAUUACUGGGCGUAAAGCGUGCGCAGGCGGUUAUAUAAGACAGAUGUGAAAUCCCCGGGCUCAACCUGGGACCUGCAUUUGUGACUGUAUAGCUAGAGUACGGUAGAGGGGGAUGGAAUUCCGCGUGUAGCAGUGAAAUGCGUAGAGAUCGGAAGGAACAUCUGUGGCGAAGGCGACUAUCUGGACCUGUACUGACGCUCAUGCACGAAAGCGUGGGGAGCAAACAGGAUUAGAGACCCCUGUAGUCCCUGUCUCUUAUAA
RNAcentral lists this ribosomal RNA (301 nucleotides) under uncultured bacterium. Its description in RNAcentral is "partial 16S ribosomal RNA". It matches the Rfam family "Bacterial small subunit ribosomal RNA", at positions 509 to 809 of the family's 1533-position model. The record is from RNAcentral.